UACGGAGGAUGCAAGCGUUAUCCGGAAUGAUUGGGCGUAAAGCGUCCGCAGGUGGCUAUGUAAGUCUGCUGUUAAAGAGCAAAGCUUAACUUUGUAAAAGCAGUGGAAACUACAUAGCUAGAGUGCGUUCGGGGCAGAGGGAAUUCCUGGUGUAGCGGUGAAAUGCGUAGAGAUCAGGAAGAACGCCGGUGGCGAAGGCGCUCUGCUAGGCCGCAACUGACACUGAGGGACGAAAGCUAGGGGAGCGAAUGGG
RNAcentral lists this ribosomal RNA (253 nucleotides) under uncultured bacterium. Its description in RNAcentral is "partial 16S ribosomal RNA". It matches the Rfam family "Bacterial small subunit ribosomal RNA", at positions 524 to 776 of the family's 1533-position model. The record is from RNAcentral.